CCUACGGGUGGCUGCAGUGAGGAAUAUUGGUCAAUGGACGAGAGUCUGAACCAGCCAAGUAGCGUGAAGGAUGACUGCCCUAUGGGUUGUAAACUUCUUUUAUAUGGGAAUAAAAUGUUCCACGUGUGGGAUUUUGUAUGUACCAUAUGAAUAAGGAUCGGCUAACUACGUGCCAGCAGCCGCGGUCAUACGGAGGAUCCGAGCGUUAUCCGGAUUUAUUGGGUUUAAAGGGAGCGUAGGUGGAUUGUUAAGUCAGUUGUGAAAGUUGUAGGCUCAACCGUAAAAUUGCAUUUGAAACUGGCUGUCUUGAGUACAGUAGAGGGAGGCGGAAUUCGUGGUGUAGCGGUGAAAUGCUUAGAUAUCACGAAGAACACCGAUUGCGAAGGCAGCUCACUGGACUGCAACUGACACUGAGGCUCGAAAGUGUGGGGAUCAAACAGGAUUAGAUACCCGAGUAGUC
This 460-nucleotide ribosomal RNA is filed under the name uncultured bacterium. Its description in RNAcentral is "partial 16S ribosomal RNA". It matches the Rfam family "Bacterial small subunit ribosomal RNA", at positions 338 to 795 of the family's 1533-position model. The record is from RNAcentral.